RNAcentral lists this ribosomal RNA (2918 nucleotides) under Salmonella enterica. Its description in RNAcentral is "bacterial LSU rRNA". It matches the Rfam family "Bacterial large subunit ribosomal RNA". Lineage: Bacteria; Pseudomonadati; Pseudomonadota; Gammaproteobacteria; Enterobacterales; Enterobacteriaceae. The record is from RNAcentral.
GGGUUGUGAGGUUAAGCGACUAAGCGUACACGGUGGAUGCCCUGGCAGUCAGAGGCGAUGAAGGGCGUGCUAAUCUGCGAUAAGCGCCGGUAAGGUGAUAUGAACCGUUAUAACCGGCGAUACCCGAAUGGGGAAACCCAGUGUGUUUCGACACACUAUCAUUAACUGAAUCCAUAGGUUAAUGAGGCGAACCGGGGGAACUGAAACAUCUAAGUACCCCGAGGAAAAGAAAUCAACCGAGAUUCCCCCAGUAGCGGCGAGCGAACGGGGAGGAGCCCAGAGCCUGAAUCAGCAUGUGUGUUAGUGGAAGCGUCUGGAAAGGCGCGCGAUACAGGGUGACAGCCCCGUACACAAAAGCGCAUGUGCUGUGAGCUCGAUGAGUAGGGCGGGACACGUGGUAUCCUGUCUGAAUAUGGGGGGACCAUCCUCCAAGGCUAAAUACUCCUGACUGACCGAUAGUGAACCAGUACCGUGAGGGAAAGGCGAAAAGAACCCCGGCGAGGGGAGUGAAAAAGAACCUGAAACCGUGUACGUACAAGCAGUGGGAGCACCCUUUGGGGUGUGACUGCGUACCUUUUGUAUAAUGGGUCAGCGACUUAUAUUCUGUAGCAAGGUUAACCGAAUAGGGGAGCCGGAGGGAAACCGAGUCUUAAUUGGGCGUUAAGUUGCAGGGUAUAGACCCGAAACCCGGUGAUCUAGCCAUGGGCAGGUUGAAGGUUGGGUAACACUAACUGGAGGACCGAACCGACUAAUGUUGAAAAAUUAGCGGAUGACCUGUGGCUGGGGGUGAAAGGCCAAUCAAACCGGGAGAUAGCUGGUUCUCCCCGAAAGCUAUUUAGGUAGCGCCUCGUGAAUUCAUCUCCGGGGGUAGAGCACUGUUUCGGCUAGGGGGCCAUCCCGGCUUACCAACCCGAUGCAAACUGCGAAUACCGGAGAAUGUUAUCACGGGAGACACACGGCGGGUGCUAACGUCCGUCGUGAAGAGGGAAACAACCCAGACCGCCAGCUAAGGUCCCAAAGUCAUGGUUAAGUGGGAAACGAUGUGGGAAGGCCCAGACAGCCAGGAUGUUGGCUUAGAAGCAGCCAUCAUUUAAAGAAAGCGUAAUAGCUCACUGGUCGAGUCGGCCUGCGCGGAAGAUGUAACGGGGCUAAACCAUGCACCGAAGCUGCGGCAGCGACGCUGAUGCGUUGUUGGGUAGGGGAGCGUUCUGUAAGCCUGUGAAGGUGGCCUGUGAGGGUUGCUGGAGGUAUCAGAAGUGCGAAUGCUGACAUAAGUAACGAUAAAGCGGGUGAAAAGCCCGCUCGCCGGAAGACCAAGGGUUCCUGUCCAACGUUAAUCGGGGCAGGGUGAGUCGACCCCUAAGGCGAGGCCGAAAGGCGUAGUCGAUGGGAAACGGGUUAAUAUUCCCGUACUUGGUGUUACUGCGAAGGGGGGACGGAGAAGGCUAUGUUGGCCGGGCGACGGUUGUCCCGGUUUAAGCGUGUAGGUGUGUGUUCCAGGUAAAUCCGGUUCACUUUAACACUGAGGCGUGAUGACGAGGCACUACGGUGCUGAAGCAACAAAUGCCCUGCUUCCAGGAAAAGCCUCUAAGCAUCAGGUAACAUCAAAUCGUACCCCAAACCGACACAGGUGGUCAGGUAGAGAAUACCAAGGCGCUUGAGAGAACUCGGGUGAAGGAACUAGGCAAAAUGGUGCCGUAACUUCGGGAGAAGGCACGCUGACACGUAGGUGAAGUGAUUUACUCAUGGAGCUGAAGUCAGUCGAAGAUACCAGCUGGCUGCAACUGUUUAUUAAAAACACAGCACUGUGCAAACACGAAAGUGGACGUAUACGGUGUGACGCCUGCCCGGUGCCGGAAGGUUAAUUGAUGGGGUCAGCGCAAGCGAAGCUCCUGAUCGAAGCCCCGGUAAACGGCGGCCGUAACUAUAACGGUCCUAAGGUAGCGAAAUUCCUUGUCGGGUAAGUUCCGACCUGCACGAAUGGCGUAAUGAUGGCCAGGCUGUCUCCACCCGAGACUCAGUGAAAUUGAACUCGCUGUGAAGAUGCAGUGUACCCGCGGCAAGACGGAAAGACCCCGUGAACCUUUACUAUAGCUUGACACUGAACAUUGAGCCUUGAUGUGUAGGAUAGGUGGGAGGCUUUGAAGUGUGGACGCCAGUCUGCAUGGAGCCGACCUUGAAAUACCACCCUUUAAUGUUUGAUGUUCUAACGUGGACCCGUGAUCCGGGUUGCGGACAGUGUCUGGUGGGUAGUUUGACUGGGGCGGUCUCCUCCUAAGAGUAACGGAGGAGCACGAAGGUUGGCUAAUCUGGUCGGACAUCAGGAGGUUAGUGCAAUGGCAUAAGCCAGCUUGACUGCGAGCGUGACGGCGCGAGCAGGUGCAGCAGGUCAUAGUGAUCCGGUGGUUCUGAAUGGAAGGGCCAUCGCUCAACGGAUAAAAGGUACUCCGGGGAUAACAGGCUGAUACCGCCCAAGAGUUCAUAUCGACGGCGGUGUUUGGCACCUCGAUGUCGGCUCAUCACAUCCACGGGCUGAAGUAGGUCCCAAGGGUAUGGCUGUUCGCCAUUUAAAGUGGUACGCGAGCUGGGUUUAGAACGUCGUGAGACAGUUCGGUCCCUAUCUGCCGUGGGCGCUGGAGAACUGAGGGGCUGCUCCUAGUACGAGGGACCGGGUGGACGCAUCACUGGUGUUCGGGUUGUCAUGCCAAUGGCACUGCCCGGUAGCUAAAUGCGGAAGAGAUAAGUGCUGAAAGCAUCUAAGCACGAAACUUGCCCCGAGAUGAGUUCUCCCUGAGACUUUAGGUCUCCUGAAGGAACGUUGAAGACGACGACGUUGAUAGGCCGGGUGUGUAAGCGCAGCGAUGCGUUGAGCUAACCGGUACUAAUGAACCGUGAGGCUUAACCUUACAACGCCGAAG